CAAGUCGAACGCGUCUCCGUUAAUGAUUUUAGGUGCUUGCACUUGAAAGAUUUAACAUUGAGACGAGUGGCGAACUGGUGAGUAACACGUGGGUAACCUGCCCUUGAAGUAGGGGAUAACACUUGGAAACAGGUGCUAAUACCGUAUAACAACCAAAACCACCUGGUUUUGGUUUAAAAGACGGCUUCGGCUGUCACUUUAGGAUGGACCCGCGGCGCAUUAGCUUGUUGGUAAGGUAACGGCUUACCAAGGCGAUGAUACGUAGCCGACCUGAGAGGGUAAUCGGCCACAUUGGGACUGAGACACGGCCCAAACUCCUACGGGAGGCAGCAGUAGGGAAUCUUCCACAAUGGACGAAAGUCUGAUGGAGCAACGCCGCGUGAGUGAUGAAGGGUUUCGGCUCGUAAAACUCUGUUGUUGGAGAAGAACAGGUGUCAGAGUAACUGUUGACAUCUUGACGGUAUCCAACCAGAAAGCCACGGCUAACUACGUGCCAGCAGCCGCGGUAAUACGUAGGUGGCAAGCGUUGUCCGGAUUUAUUGGGCGUAAAGCGAGCGCAGGCGGUUUUUUAGGUCUGAUGUGAAAGCCUUCGGCUUAACCGGAGAAGUGCAUCGGAAACCGGGAGACUUGAGUGCAGAAGAGGACAGUGGAACUCCAUGUGUAGCGGUGAAAUGCGUAGAUAUAUGGAAGAACACCAGUGGCGAAGGCGGCUGUCUGGUCUGUAACUGACGCUGAGGCUCGAAAGCAUGGGUAGCGAACAGGAUUAGAUACCCUGGUAGUCCAUGCCGUAAACGAUGAGUGCUAAGUGUUGGAGGGUUUCCGCCCUUCAGUGCUGCAGCUAACG
RNAcentral lists this ribosomal RNA (844 nucleotides) under uncultured bacterium. RNAcentral describes it as "bacterial SSU rRNA". It matches the Rfam family "Bacterial small subunit ribosomal RNA", at positions 58 to 857 of the family's 1533-position model. The record is from RNAcentral.